This 434-nucleotide long non-coding RNA is filed under the name Pongo abelii (Sumatran orangutan). RNAcentral's name for it is "lincRNA". The record is from RNAcentral. Lineage: Eukaryota; Metazoa; Chordata; Mammalia; Primates; Hominidae.
GCCAUUUAAGACAUCUUCCUGCUUCUCCUUUCCCUUCCAUCAUGAUUGAAAGUUGUCUGAGGUCUCCCAGCCAUGUGUCCUGUACAGCCUGCGGAACUCCUUUGAAGAAGAAUCAGAAAAUGGAGACUGGGAUUGGAAGCAGAGAUCCGAUGGCCAAAUUACAGAGUCUUCCACUGAAACUAACUCACCUAUGGAUAACCCAACCUGUAAACUCAAUGUGGAACACAGUUUGAGAAAAGAAGUGAGAAGAUUCAAUUUUGAAGUUGGAUCACUCUCCUACAGGCAAUGAAGACCACAUCACUGAUGAACUCUGACUAAUACAUCAUGAACUUGCAGAAUUUUGAAUAUUUGACAAAUCUGAGGAAUUGAAGAGACGGGCACCUCACCUUUUCUGAGCUGAAGAGUUCAUCUGAUGAAACCUGAAGUAGGGAGCA